RNAcentral lists this ribosomal RNA (255 nucleotides) under uncultured bacterium. RNAcentral's name for it is "partial 16S ribosomal RNA". It matches the Rfam family "Bacterial small subunit ribosomal RNA", at positions 524 to 776 of the family's 1533-position model. The record is from RNAcentral.
UACGAAGGGGGCUAGCGUUGCUCGGAAUGACUGGGCGUAAAGGGCGCGUAGGCGGAUGGCACAGUCAGAUGUGAAAAUUCCCGGGCUUAACCUGGGGGCUGCAUUUGAUACGUGUUGUCUUGAGUUCGGAAGAGGGUCGUGGAAUUCCCAGUGUAGAGGUGAAAUUCGUAGAUAUUGGGAAGAACACCGGUGGCGCAAGGCGGCGACCUGGUCCGACACUGACGCUGAGGCGCGAAAGCGUGGGGAGCAAACAGG